Molecule: small nucleolar RNA, 199 nt
Filed under: Penaeus vannamei (Pacific white shrimp)
Lineage: Eukaryota; Metazoa; Arthropoda; Malacostraca; Decapoda; Penaeidae
Description: Litopenaeus vannamei (Pacific white shrimp) Small nucleolar RNA U3
Rfam family: Small nucleolar RNA U3
About the family: Small nucleolar RNAs (snoRNAs) are involved in the processing and modification of rRNA in the nucleolus. There are two main classes of snoRNAs: the box C/D class, and the box H/ACA class.
Source: Rfam by way of RNAcentral
AAGAUCAUACUUUAUAGGAUCAAUUCUAUAGUGAGAUUGCCGGGUUUCUCGCCAAGAUUCUCGGAAUAUAUUCAACCACGAUGAGGACUUUGAGUGUGAGCCUCUGAGCGGAAGCGGUUCUUACGUUCUUCGUGAGAGCAUUGAUGACCGUUCUGGCUCGGUUCACGUGUCCAGAGGAGGCCCACACAGGCUGAGUGGU